UUUCUCUUCGAGGUGACUUUGAAGCUUGCAGCAUUGAUUUUGCGAUAUGUUCAAGAACAUCAACGACUUGGGGAGUUCCAGAUCUGAAGAAGCACAUGAACAAAAGGUUUCGGAGUAGAAAGCCCGCUCACCUGGAUCAACGUGGCUGAUAGAAUUGUUGGAGGCGUCAAGGAAAGCGAGCUUUGGCAGUGAUUGCAGACCUUGCAAACUGGUAAGGUGGUUCCCAGAAACGGUGAGGAAUUGCAGGUGCUUGGCGGCUUCUAUGCCAUUCAAGGUUGUGAGCUCGUUCUUCAGUAAAACAGGUCAGGUUAUUUCAGAAGGAUGGACAGAUAGUGGACUACUACCUCUUGGAGAUAUAGGCUGGUUAGAUUUCGUAGGCACAGGAAGAAGGCAGGCUCUAGUAACAGGAUGUGCUCACGGUCAAGACGAACGUGUGUUAGUCCUUUCAAGGCUUCUUCUCUGGUUGGACAGCAGUGAGUUUUCAGAGCCCGAGCUAGCCAAGGUAACUCACAUUGCGUGUGCGGAUGCUACGUCCAAGAACUGGGAUGGGAGGUUCCUUUCGGCAACCAUGGCAGCCCAAAGAGCCAUUGCUUCUCUUCGAAGAUGAAGCUCUUCCUGCCAGUCUCGUUCUUCCAUGGUCCGUGCCGUCUCUGUGCUUCGAAUUUGAAACUUAACCGCGAAAGGUGAAAUCGCCGGCUGUUCGGCCGACGGUUUCGACGGUUGUUUGUCAGGUAAAGAAUGUAUGUUUUUUACUUCUCAAAAGUGUCUAUACAGGCCGAAGGACGCCGGAGCAUUGCUAAACGCAACUUGGUCUCGAUGAUGAUGGGAGGAGCUAUUGCGAACUCAGGUAUGUCAUCGUUCUUCGGGCUUGUUCUUAUCACUCCUCCGGCUGGCUGCUUGUUCCUUUGUUCGAUGCAUCAUAUCUUCUCCACUCCCAGCUGCGUUUUCAAGCUUCGAAAGAACCGCGUCCUUAGCUGACUGAAUGAAGCUCUUACUCCGCUCCUGCCUGUCGUGAACAGUCGCCUGGACGUUCUCUCGAGUGUCGUUGAUGUACUGCUUUGUUGCGUUCCAUGCAUCCGCUGUGCCUUGAGAAGCCUCAUCCUUUUGCUGCCUUAGCAUCUGUCCUGCGUUGUACGCUGCUUGUUCUAUUUUCGCGAGCCCAGACUGUAGAAGUCCCCGCUGGUCUUCGGCUUUCUCUUUAGAUUCGUUGGCUGUUUCUGUUGCUCUGUGACGAGCAUCAUCAGCUACUUGUCUGUGCUGGUGCGCCCUGUCGUGUGUACUUCCCAGCAUGUCCUCGGCUUUGAGCUUUCCUUUCUCUCUUGUUUCCUCAAGCUUUUCCUUGGAGACUUGAACUGUUUCUUUUGCCUUGCCAAAUAUGUCUUCGGCUUUGAGCUUUCCCUUCUCACGCAGCUCCUCGUCCGCGCGUCUGGUGUUUUCACUCUUUUCGUAUGUAUUCUCUCUCGCUUUGCCGAGCAUGCCCUCUGCUUUCAGUUUUCCCCGCUCCCGAAUUUCUUCGUCUUUGCGUCUGGUUUCCUCACUUAUCUCGCUGCUUUUUUCUCUUGACUUGCCAAACAUGUCUUCUGCCUUUAGCUUCCCUCGCUCUCGUAGCUCUUGGUCGCUUUGAGCUCUUUCUGCAGUCUGUAAGGUUAUUAGAGAGUGAUUCGAUCAAACUGUCGACUGUUUUACCCAAUCUUUCACAGCUUGCAACAGUCCCUUGUCCUUGACCUCCUCAGCGGCGUCAUCUGCCGUGUCAUAAACACCUUUUCCUGCCUUUCUGAUUCGAUCAGAUGCCUCAUCGCUGCUAAUGUUUAUCCUCGUUUUGAGAUCGUCCAGCGCUUCUUCAGACUUGGCUUUGGCCUGUGAUAUCUUUUCUUGUACGAAGCCUUUUCCUUGCUCCGCCCGGGCUUGUGCUUCAUGCUUAGCUCUAUCAGCGGUCUCUUGACUGGUCUUUUUCGUCUCGUGCCACCUCCCCUCGGACCUGUCAGCAGCGUCUUGGCCUUUCGUCUUAGCCUCCUCGACGACGUCUUUUACUCCACCUGCAAACUUUUGAGCCUGUUACAACGUUUUUUCUUUUAGUUAUGAAGUUUACCUCUCGUGCUGUCGCUCGUUUCUCUGGACCUCUCUUUUGUUUGAUCUGCAGCCUCAUGACCUUUAUCUCUGAGUUCUCGUCCUUGGUCGGACUCUCCCGUCACGAAUGCUGCUACUGAUUGUGCCAUGGACUGAAUGAAGCCUUUCUCUUCGUAAGCUUUAUCUCUUGCUUGAUUAGCAAACUGCCGUCCUUUGUGUUGAACCUCAUCCAAAGUUUCUCGACCUUUUUGCUUGGCUUCAUUGGAUGUGCUUUUUGUUCUCUCUUGCAUUUCUCGUCCCUUAUCUGAUUCACGAGUUCGUUACAGACUUCAUGAAGCCUUUGUUAUGAACUUUACCUUUCGCCGCGUCUGCUGUCUCUUGUCCUCUCCCUUUUACGUCUUGAGAUUUUGGUUUGGACUGGUCAGCAAAUUGUCGAGCUUUGUCUCCAGCUCGCUCUGUAUCAGCUUGAUCAGCAACUUGCUGUCCUUUGUGCCGAGCUUCAUCUGAAGCUUCCCGGCCCCUUUGCUUUACUUCUUCGGCUGUGCUUCUGGUUCUGUCUUGCAUUUCCCGCCCCUUAUCUGAUUCACCCGUGACGAAUGAAGUGACCGAGUCUGUUAUCGAUUGCAUGAAUCCCUUUUCCUCUUGCGCUUUACCUUUCGCUGCAUCAGCCAUCCCUUGUCCUCUCUCUUUCACUUCUUGAGAUUUUUGUUUUGACUGGUCUGCGAAUUCUCGGCCUUUGUCCCGAGUUUCAGCGGCAUGGUGUUCUGACUUUCCUCUUGCUUGAUCAGCGACUUGAUUUCCUUUUUGUCUAGCCUCAUCCGAAGUUUCUCGGCCUUUUCGCUUGACUUCAUCAGCUGUGCUUCUCGCUUUGUCUUGCAUCUCUCGCCCCUCGUCUGAUUCACCGGUGACGAAUGCCGUGACUGAGUCUGUUAUUGACUGCAUGAAUCCCUUCUCCUCUUGCGCUUUACGUCUCGUUGCAUCAGACAUCUCUUGUCCUCGCUCUUUCACGUCUUGAGUUUUUUGCUUGGACUGGUCAGCAAAUUGUCGACCUUUGUCCCGAGCCUCAGCAGCGUGGUGUUCCGACUUUCCUCUUGCUUGAUCGACAACAUGCUCUCCUUUUUCUCGAGCCUCAUUCGAAGUUUCUCGGCCUUUUUGCUUGGCUUCAUCGGCUGUGCUUCUCGUUUUCUCUUGCAUUUCUCGUCCUUUGUCUGAUUCUCCAGAGACAAGCACGGUCCGUUAUUGCAUAAAUCCCUUCUCUUGUCUAGCCUCACCUUUUGCUGCAUCAGCCAUAUCUUGUCCUCUCUCUUUUACGUCUUGAGAUUUUUGUUUCGACUGAUUGGCGAACUGCUGGCCCUUUCGUUGAGCUUCACCCGAGGUCUCGUGAGCCUUCUGCUUUGUUUCAUCAACUUUUCCCCUGGUUUUCUCCUGGAUCUCUCGUCCCUUGUCUGGUUCACCCGUGACAAACGCAGUGACCGAGUCGGUUAUGGACUGCAUGAAUCCCCUCUCCUCUUGAGCUUUACCUCUCGUCGCAUCAGCCAUCUCGUGAGACUUUUGUUUGGUCUCGUCGGCUUUCUCCCUCGUUUUAUCGGCAGCCUGCUUGCUUUUCUCCCGAGCAUCGUGGGACGUUGUAUCGGCCGUGUCUUUCAUUCUAUCCCGGAUCUCCCGUCCUUCCUCUGAUUCACCCGAAAGAAGCGAGCUUGCUGAGUCUGUGAUGGACUGCAAAAAACCUUUUUCUUCAUAUACUUGAUCACUGGCUGUACCUUGUCCUCUCUCCUUCGUUUCUUGCAUUUUAUUUCUUGCAUCGUGAGCUACCUGUCGUCCCUUGUUGCUCGUGUCGUCGGCUUUUUCCCUCGCCUGAUCACCAAACUCUUGGCCUUUCUCCCGAGCUGCCUGCGAUGUUCUAUCAGCGGUGUCCUUCAUUCUGUCCCGGAUCGCCCGUCCUUCCUCUGAUUCACCCGAAAGAAACGCAGUUGCUGAGUCUGUGAUGGACUGCAAAAAACCUUUCUCUUCGUGAACUUGAUCACUGGCUGUACCUUGUCCUCUCUCUUUCAUGUCUUGCAUUUUAUCCCGUGCAUCGUGAGCUACAAGUCGGCCUUUGUUGCUAACCUCGUCCGCUUUCUGCCUCACUUGAUCGCCAUACUCUUGGCCUUUCUGUGACACUCCACUCGCAGUGUCUUGGGCUUUUUGCUUCGUUUCGUCGAUAGUGCUUCUGGUUUUGCCUCUAAACUCCCGUCCUUGUUCGGAUUCACCCGUCACAAAUCCAGCUACAGAAUCUGCCACGGAUUGGAGGAAACCUUUGCCUUCGUUCCCUUUCUCUCUCGCUUCAUCCGCAACCUGACGUCCUGUGCGUCUUGCUUCGUCCGCGUGACUGCCAACUUUCUCUUUCGUUUGAUCCAGUACUUGCUCGCCUUUUUUCUUUGUUUCGAGAGAAGCCUCUCUAGCAUCUUUGGACGUUUGAUCCACGGCUUGCUGACCUCUGUGCUUUGCCUCGUGAGAAGUCUCCUUUGCGUUGUCUGUGGCAUCUCUUGACAGUUGCUUGUUUCCUUCCACUGCUUGCUGGCCUUUGUUCUUGGUUUCGUGAGAAGUCUCUUUCGUUUUCCCCGCAGCGUCUCCUGCGACUUGCUUGCCUCGCUCAGCAGCGUCUUCGUGUCCUAUGCUUCCUCCCUCGGGUUUUGACGUAGCCGACGAGAUCGCCUCGGCUGCUUUGUCAUACGCUGCCAGGAGAAAUCCUCGCUGAAACCAGCCUUCUCCUUCUCCGCCCCGUCUCUCCUCGGCUUCCCGUGCUGCCUGGUGUGCCGCUGCCGCUUGCUCGCUGGCCUUGUUUUUCGUGCUCUCGUAAGCACUUUUGGCUCGCUCUUGUCCCUCUCCAAUCCUCUCUUGCGCGGCCACCUUUUGCUCGCCGGCUUUGUUCUUUGCAUUCUCGUAAGCGUUGCUGGCUCGCUCUUGUCCCUCCCCAAUGCUCUCCUGCGCCGCCACCUUCUUCUCGCUAGCCUUGAUCUUUGCAUUCUCGUAGAGAUUCCUGGCUCGCUCUUGUCCCUCCCCGAUAGUUUCCUGUGCUGCUACCUUUUGCUCGUUGGCCUUGCUCUUGACGUUCUCGUAUGCUGACUUUGUUUUCUCUUUGGCUCCAGAGUAGCUCUCCUGUGCGUCGUCCUUUGCUAUCCCGAGAGCUGCUCCAAGGCCCUGGCUCAGAGCUUGAGCUGCCUCUCUCGCUUUCGCUAGGCUGUAACGACGACACAACUUACACAGUGUAAGCAAACGCUUGAGCUCUCUUCGCUACUUUCCAAACUCAAAGAAUGAAUCUAUGAUCAAGCAGGCAAACUUCUCGAGAUCGAGCAACACGGUCCAAGGAAAAGAAUUUGAUCAAGAAAAGAUACGCAGUGUAAGCAAACGCUUGAUACCUAUACUUGCAAACUCUAAGGAUGCAUCUCAUCGCAGGAUGAUCAAGCAGGCAAACUUUUAUAGAGGGAGCAACGCGAUCCAAGGAAAAGAAUUUGAUCGAGAAAAGAGAAGAUUUACCCCUCACUUCCAGCGUUCUUGGCGUCUCCAAAAUGCUGCCGCGGGUCUCGAUCUUUACUGCGAUGUUCUCGGUCGUCCUCCGCCAUGCUUGUUCGUUCGUUUUCUUCCCUCUUCUUUUUUAUACUCUCCAGGGGAUGAAAUUCUCCUCGAGUCACGACUGUUUGUCAUGCGUGGCCUCCACGUCAACUUUUAAUCAACACGUGUACUUCGUUUU
This 5797-nucleotide long non-coding RNA is filed under the name Selaginella moellendorffii. RNAcentral describes it as "long non-coding RNA (SMOE_LNC001145)". Lineage: Eukaryota; Viridiplantae; Streptophyta; Lycopodiopsida; Selaginellales; Selaginellaceae. The record is from RNAcentral.